AUUGAACGCUGGCGGCAUGCCUUACACAUGCAAGUCGAACGGUAACGGGUCCUUCGGGAUGCCGACGAGUGGCGAACGGGUGAGUAAUAUAUCGGAACGUGCCCAGUAGUGGGGGAUAACUGCUCGAAAGAGCAGCUAAUACCGCAUACGACCUGAGGGUGAAAGGGGGGGAUCGCAAGACCUCUCGCUAGUGGAGCGGCCGAGUUCCGAUUGGGUAGUUGGGGGGGUAAAGGCCUACCAAGGCAGCGAUCUGUAGUUGGUCUGAGAGGACGACCAGCCACACUGGGACUGAGACACGGCCCAGACUCCUACGGGAGGCAGCAGUGGGGAAUUUUGGACAAUGGGCGCAAGCCUGAUCCAGCAAUGCCGCGUGCAGGAAGAAGGCCUUCGGGUUGUAAACUGCUUUUGUCAGGGAAGAAAUCUUCUGGGCUAAUACCCCGGGAGGAUGACGGUACCUGAAGAAUAAGCACCGGCUAACUACGUGCCAGCAGCCGCCGUAA
Molecule: ribosomal RNA, 500 nt
Filed under: uncultured bacterium
Lineage: Bacteria
Description: partial 16S ribosomal RNA
Rfam family: Bacterial small subunit ribosomal RNA
Source: RNAcentral